Small nuclear RNA from Phyllostomus discolor (pale spear-nosed bat), 104 nucleotides. The record is from RefSeq and is a predicted model, not a curated record. NCBI's taxonomy places the organism in Eukaryota, Metazoa, Chordata, Mammalia, Chiroptera, Phyllostomidae.
GUGCUUGCUUUGGCACCACAUAUACUGAAGUUGGAAUGAGACAGAGAUUAGCUUGGCCCCUGAGCAAGGAUAACAUGCAAAUCUAUGAAGCAUUCCACAUUUUA